UACGUAGGGUGCAAGCGUUGUCCGGAAUUAUUGGGCGUAAAGAGCUCGUAGGCGGUUUGUCGCGUCGAAUGUGAAAACCCGGGGCUCAACUCCGGGCCUGCAUUCGAUACGGGCAGACUAGAGUUCGGUAGGGGAGUCUGGAAUUCCUGGUGUAGCGGUGAAAUGCGCAGAUAUCAGGAGGAACACCGGGUGGCGAAGGCGGGUCUCUGGGCCGAUACUGACGCUGAGGAGCGAAAGCGUGGGGAGCGAACAGG
This 254-nucleotide ribosomal RNA is filed under the name uncultured bacterium. RNAcentral describes it as "partial 16S ribosomal RNA". It matches the Rfam family "Bacterial small subunit ribosomal RNA", at positions 524 to 776 of the family's 1533-position model. The record is from RNAcentral.